AUUGAACGCUGGCGGCAGGCCUAACACAUGCAAGUCGAGCGGAGCGGCGGACGGGUGAGUAAUGCCUAGGAAUCUGCCUGGUAGUGGGGGAUAACGUCCGGGAACGGGCGCUAAUACCGCAUACUAUCGGUUCAGCCUAGGUGGGAUUAGCUGGUUGGGGGGGUAAAGGCCUACCAAGGCGACGAUCCGUAACUGUUCUGAGAGGAUGAUCAGUCACACGGGAACUGAGACACGGUCCAGACUCCUACGGGAGGCAGAAGUGGGGAAUAUUGGACAAUGGGCGAAAGCUGGAUCCAGCAAGGCCGCGGGUGGGAAGAAGGUCUUCGGAUUGUAAAGCACUUUAAGUUGGGAGGCGUUACCAACAGAAUAAGCACCGGCUAACUUCGUGCCAGCAGCCGCGGUAAUAC
This 407-nucleotide ribosomal RNA is filed under the name uncultured bacterium. RNAcentral's name for it is "partial 16S ribosomal RNA". It matches the Rfam family "Bacterial small subunit ribosomal RNA", at positions 30 to 526 of the family's 1533-position model. The record is from RNAcentral.